Molecule: ribosomal RNA, 301 nt
Filed under: uncultured bacterium
Lineage: Bacteria
Description: partial 16S ribosomal RNA
Rfam family: Bacterial small subunit ribosomal RNA
Source: RNAcentral
CAGUCGCCACGGGAAUACAGAGGGUGCAAGCGUUAAUCGGAAUUACUGGGCGUAAAGCGCGCGUAGGUUGUUUGUUAAGUUGGAUGUGAAAGCCCCGGGCUCAACCUGGGAACUGCAUCCAAAACUGGCAAGCUAGAGUACGGUAGAUGGUUGUGGAAUUUCCUGUGUAGCGGUGAAAUGCGUAGAUAUAGGAAGGAACACCAGUGGCGAAGGCGACCACCUGGACUGAUACUGACACUGAGGUGCGAAAGCGUGGGGAGCAAACAGGAUUAGAUACCCCGGUAGUCCCUGUCUCUUAUAC